CUGUUAGUGUGUGUUUUGUGAGUGAGUGUCUGUCAGUAAAUGUGUGUGUCUGUUAGCUAGUGUGUAUGCGUCUAUUCGUGAGAGUGUGUGUGUGUGUACUUACCUUUCUCCAGCGCCAGUCUCCCUUGGCGCUGGGGAUCUCUCCGCCCUGAUCCGCCUCUCAGCUCUGAAUGCGCAUGUGUGGCAAGAGCCGUGCGCGCAUUCAAACCGCCCAUA
This 216-nucleotide long non-coding RNA is filed under the name Pelobates cultripes (western spadefoot toad). Lineage: Eukaryota; Metazoa; Chordata; Amphibia; Anura; Pelobatidae. The record is from RNAcentral.